CUACGGGCCGCAGCAGUAACGAAUAUUGGGCAAUGGGCGCAAGCCUGACCCAGCGACGCCGCGUGCAGGAUGAAGUCUUUCGGGAUGUAAACUGCUGUCAGGGGUACGGAAGAUCUGACCGAUCCCAAAGGAAGUCUCGGCUAACUCCGUGCCAGCAGCCGCGGUAAGACGGAGGAGGCAAGCGUUGUUCGGAAUCACUGGGCUUAAAGCGCGUGUAGGCGGCUCGGCAAGUGCCUUGUGAAAGCCCUCGGCUCAACCGAGGAACGGCUGGGCAUACUGCCGGGCUUGAGGCAGGUAGGGGCGACUGGAACUCUAGGUGGAGCGGUGAAAUGCGUAGAUAUCUAGAGGAACGCCUGUGGCGAAAGCGGGUCGCUGGGCCUGUUCUGACGCUGAGACGCGAAAGCGUAGGGAGCGAACGGGAUUAGAUACCCGUGUAGUC
RNAcentral lists this ribosomal RNA (439 nucleotides) under uncultured bacterium. RNAcentral describes it as "partial 16S ribosomal RNA". It matches the Rfam family "Bacterial small subunit ribosomal RNA", at positions 339 to 795 of the family's 1533-position model. The record is from RNAcentral.